GGAGAGCAUGGGCGAUCGGUAGCCCAGAAUCCUGCUGAGAUUCCGUCGCUUCGGCACAUCGGGGUUCGAGUCCCCGGCUCUCCGCCA
This 87-nucleotide transfer RNA is filed under the name Terriglobia bacterium. Its description in RNAcentral is "tRNA-Ser". Lineage: Bacteria; Pseudomonadati; Acidobacteriota; Terriglobia. The record is from RNAcentral.